Molecule: ribosomal RNA, 581 nt
Filed under: Duvalius boldorii vaghezzae
Lineage: Eukaryota; Metazoa; Arthropoda; Insecta; Coleoptera; Carabidae
Also listed under: 1 other name
Description: partial 16S ribosomal RNA
Rfam family: Bacterial large subunit ribosomal RNA (bases 340-498)
Source: RNAcentral
AAUGGCUGCAGUAAUAUAACUGUACAAAGGUAGCAUAAUCAUUAGUUUUUUAAUUAAAAGCUUGUAUGAAAGGUUGGACGAAGUAAAAUCUGUCUCUUUUUAAUAUAAUUAGAAUUUAAUUUUUAAGUAAAAAAGCUUAAAUUUAUAUAAAAGACGAGAAGACCCUAUAGAGUUUAAUAAUUUAUUUUAAAUAAUUAAUUUAGAUUUAUUUAUUUUAUUUUUUAUAAAAUUAUUUUAUUGGGGUAAUAAAAAGAUUAGUAUAAUUCUUUUUUUUAUUUUACAUUAAUUUAUGAAUUUAAUGAUCCAUUUUUUAUGAUUAAAAGAUUAAAUUACCUUAGGGAUAACAGCGUAAUUUUUUUAAAGAGUUCAUAUCGAUAAAAAAGUUUGCGACCUCGAUGUUGGAUUAAAGAUUAAUUUAGGUGUAGAAGUUUAAAUUUUUGGUCUGUUCGACCAUUAAAUCUUUACAUGAUCUGAGUUCAAACCGGUGUAAGCCAGGUUGGUUUCUAUCUUUAUAAGAUUUUUAUAUUUUAGUACGAAAGGACCAAAUAUUUAAUAUAUAAAUAUUUUAUUAUUUUGAAUAU